This 1072-nucleotide unclassified non-coding RNA is filed under the name Ensifer fredii. RNAcentral's name for it is "Sinorhizobium fredii partial contains 16S-23S ribosomal RNA intergenic spacer, and 23S ribosomal RNA". The stretch from base 221 to 294 matches the Rfam family "tRNA". Lineage: Bacteria; Pseudomonadati; Pseudomonadota; Alphaproteobacteria; Hyphomicrobiales; Rhizobiaceae. The record is from RNAcentral.
AUGGAGACGAUCGGUUCGCCGAUAUGACCUUUCCCGUGCUUUUUAGAACAAGAUCGGAUCAGUCAGAUCACGAUCGAAACGUAAUACGCCGCAGAGGUGCUUGCACCCUGACGGUAUGGCGAGACCCGCCGUCCACGUUUCUCUUUCUCACAAGGAUACGAACCACGCCCGCUCACUUUGCGUCGAGCGACGUUUAGGUGGUGCGUGCUUGACCCAGAAUGGGCCCGUAGCUCAGGUGGUUAGAGCGCACGCCUGAUAAGCGUGAGGUCGGCAGUUCGAGUCUGCCCGGGCCCACCAUUUUGGUAGCUUGGCAGAUGAUCGAAAGGUUGGGGCUGUAGCUCAGCUGGGAGAGCACCUGCUUUGCAAGCAGGGGGUCAGCGGUUCGAUCCCGCUCAGCUCCACCAUUUUGUUUGGUGGACGCCGGACGACCGGCGACGGCCUUUGGCCUUGCGAAGCCUUCGGCUUCGUUCGAGUGCCAUGCUUGAGGGUAUCCUUGGAGAAAAUAAGGUUUGCAUCGUCUCUCAUGAGACCGAUGCCUGUUCUGCUAAAAUUGUGAAGAGAAGAUAUGUCUGGAAGCUUCCAGGUGUUGACGGCGAUUGUCGAAAGACGGUCGGUGUCGGCGUCCGAGCCCAGUCCUUUUGAAGCCAUCGAUGGUCUAGCCGACCGGAGAUGGAAGAGGGGCUGGAGGUAGGAGGGAAGUCUUGUCGUUCAAGGCAUGGAUGUUGUUGGGGUGUCCUUCGGGAUGCCCUUCUGGUGUUCAUGGCCGAUUGGUGUUGCCUGACCGCGCAUCACCGGACAGAUCUCGAGAAGCUGGUCUUAAGAUUUGGCGCAAGCGAACCGCUCGGCGUGGUUCCAAUAAAGCGACCAAAUCGAACACGUCGAUGGCAUCUGGAUUUGGAUUGGGUUGUAAAAGGUAACCCUAUCCGCCGCGUCCCUUCGGGACGACGGCUUAAGGAUGAGCAUUGGCAAUGAGAACGAUCAAGUGUCAAAAGGGCAUUUGGUGGAUGCCUUGGCAUGCACAGGCGAUGAAGGACGUGAUACGCUGCGAUAAGCCGUGGGAGCUGCGAAUGAG